RNAcentral lists this ribosomal RNA (254 nucleotides) under uncultured prokaryote. RNAcentral's name for it is "partial 16S ribosomal RNA". It matches the Rfam family "Bacterial small subunit ribosomal RNA", at positions 524 to 774 of the family's 1533-position model. The record is from RNAcentral.
UACGUAGGCGGCAAGCGUUGUCCGGAAUUGCUGGGCGUAAAGCGCACGCAGGCGGAAUUGUAAGUCCGUUGUAAAAUUACAGAGGCUCAACCUCUGUCUGUCGGCGGAUACUGCAAAUCUAGAGUAUGUGAGAGGGAAGUGGAAUUCCUGGUGUAGCGGUGAAAUGCGUAGAUAUCAGGAGGAACACCGAUGGCGAAGGCAGGUCUCUGGGCCACUACUGACGCUGAGAAGCGAAAGACAUGGGGAGGCGAACA